Molecule: ribosomal RNA, 326 nt
Filed under: uncultured archaeon
Lineage: Archaea
Description: bacterial SSU rRNA
Rfam family: Archaeal small subunit ribosomal RNA
Source: RNAcentral
CCGACGGUGAGGGACGAAAGCUGGGGGCACGAACCGGAUUAGAUACCCGGGUAGUCCCAGCCGUAAACGAUGCUCGCUAGGUGUCAGGCAUGGCGCGACCGUGUCUGGUGCCGCAGGGAAGCCGUGAAGCGAGCCACCUGGGAAGUACGGCCGCAAGGCUGAAACUUAAAGGAAUUGGCGGGGGAGCACAACAACGGGUGGAGCCUGCGGUUUAAUUGGACUCAACGCCGGACAACUCACCGGGGGCGACAGCAAUAUGUAGGCCAAGCUGAAGACUUUGCCUGAAUCGCUGAGAGGAGGUGCAUGGCCGUCGCCAGUUCGUACUG